CUGGUACCAAAGUUCUCCAGAGAGACCCAAGUGUCCUCGCUUCUUCUGACCUCUGUGAGCCCUUGCCUGGGAAGAAACUUGGAGUUUGAUGGGUGAGGAGAAACACGGUCAACUCGGUGCUUUUGGAAAACGACUUUGGCCAGAGAAGAGCGCAGGCAAGCCCACGGUUGUUGUCCUUUGCUUGCUAAACGUGAGAACUGAGAAAGUUGCUCUACAUUGCUACUAGUACCGGAUGCAAUGGAAUAAUGAACUGGAGGAAUUCCAUGUGAACUGGA
Long non-coding RNA from Gracilinanus agilis (Agile Gracile Mouse Opossum), 275 nucleotides. RefSeq lists it as uncharacterized. The transcript has 3 exons. NCBI's taxonomy places the organism in Eukaryota, Metazoa, Chordata, Mammalia, Didelphimorphia, Didelphidae. The record is from RefSeq and is a predicted model, not a curated record.